RNAcentral lists this transfer-messenger RNA (389 nucleotides) under Lachnospiraceae bacterium. It matches the Rfam family "transfer-messenger RNA". Rfam says of the family: Bacterial tmRNA, also known as 10Sa RNA or SsrA, is named for its dual tRNA and mRNA-like properties. Its role is to liberate the mRNA from a stalled ribosome. The record is from RNAcentral. Lineage: Bacteria; Bacillati; Bacillota; Clostridia; Lachnospirales; Lachnospiraceae.
GGGCCAGUACUGGUUUCGACGGGGGUUUUGAAGCUUUGGAAGCCAUCGGUGAGAGUCUGCACUCACCUAAAUAAACGGAUAACUAAAUAUAAACGCUAAAGAAAAUUACGCAUUAGCUGCCUAACGUGCAGCACGUCGGACCUGUGUAGCCCACUGCACAGGAGGAAAAGCCGCAAGGUCCCGCAGGGGUUCGCCCCUGUAACCGGCGUCAUCCAGGUGGGGAACUCUUUCUGCAAAGCUUUGAGCGGAAAGUAGAAACAUGAAGCUACCAAGUUGCUAAGCCUGUCUGUGGGCGUUGCGAUAAGGGAAUGACAAAACAUAGACUGUGAUGGGAGAAACUGGAGUGAAUAGGCUUUCGGACAGGGGUUCGACUCCCCUCUGGUCCAUCA